AGCGCAGGUGGAUCGGUAAGUGGAAAGUGGAAUUCCGGGGCUCAACCUCGGAAGUGCUUUCCAAACUGUCGGUCUUGAGUACGUGAGAGGAAGGCGGAAUUCAGGGUGUAGCGGUGAAAUGCUUAGAUAUCCUGAGGAACACCAAUGGCGAAAGCAGCCUUCUGGCACGAAACUGACACUGAGGCUCGAAAGCGUGGGGAGCGAACAGGAUUAGAUACCCUGGUAGUCC
RNAcentral lists this ribosomal RNA (229 nucleotides) under uncultured bacterium. RNAcentral's name for it is "partial 16S ribosomal RNA". It matches the Rfam family "Bacterial small subunit ribosomal RNA", at positions 568 to 796 of the family's 1533-position model. The record is from RNAcentral.